AUCACCUUUGUAUGCGAUUAUGUGAGUGUGAGGAGCUUAUCGCCUUCAUACCUGUAUAUUCGUGUACUUGGGGUGUACUUAUUCGUGGGGUAAGUUAACCUCAAUUUUCCCUUUCAUAAAAUGACUGGAGGAAUGUAGCUUCGAUCUCGUAUUGAAGUGUUAUAGCCUUCGGUAGAUGUGAUGAUCGAGAUUGAGGAUUGCAAUGGAUACCCUUCGGGGCUACCUGUCUGGUCUCUGAUUGUUGCUCUGGUGCCGAAAGCUUGCUUACGGUUAUCAAAGUCGAUGGUCAAUAGGUUAGAACGGGUUAAAUUCGUUAAGGAUGUUGACGUAAUGGCUUU
Molecule: ribosomal RNA, 338 nt
Filed under: uncultured Glomeromycotina
Lineage: Eukaryota; Fungi; Glomeromycota
Description: eukaryotic LSU rRNA
Source: RNAcentral